This 453-nucleotide ribosomal RNA is filed under the name Janibacter sp. oral taxon D01. RNAcentral's name for it is "bacterial SSU rRNA". It matches the Rfam family "Bacterial small subunit ribosomal RNA", at positions 28 to 492 of the family's 1533-position model. Lineage: Bacteria; Bacillati; Actinomycetota; Actinomycetes; Micrococcales; Intrasporangiaceae. The record is from RNAcentral.
GACGAACGCGGCGGCGUGCUUAACACAUGCAAGUCGAACGGUGAACUUUGGAGCUUGCUUCAAGGGGAUCAGUGGCGAACGGGUGAGUAACACGUGAGUAACCUGCCCCGGACUCUGGAAUAAGCGCUGGAAACGGCGUCUAAUACCGGAUACGAGACGCAACCGCAUGGUUAGUGUCUGGAAAGUUUUUCGGUCUGGGAUGGACUCGCGGCCUAUCAGCUUGUUGGUGAGGUAAUGGCUCACCAAGGCGACGACGGGUAGCCGGCCUGAGAGGGCGACCGGCCACACUGGGACUGAGACACGGCCCAGACUCCUACGGGAGGCAGCAGUGGGGAAUAUUGCACAAUGGGCGAAAGCCUGAUGCAGCGACGCCGCGUGAGGGAUGACGGCCUUCGGGUUGUAAACCUCUUUCAGCAGGGAAGAAGCGAAAGUGACGUACCUGCAGAAGAGCCC